GAUGAACGCUGGCGGCGUGCCUAAUACAUGCAAGUCGAGCGAACAGACGAGGAGCUUGCUCCUUCGACGUUAGCGGCGGACGGGUGAGUAACACGUAGGUAACCUACCUAUAAGACUGGGAUAACUUCGGGAAACCGGAGCUAAUACCGGAUAAUAUUUCGAACCGCAUGGUUCGAUAGUGAAAGAUGGCUUUGCUAUCACUUAUAGAUGGACCUGCGCCGUAUUAGCUAGUUGGUAAGGUAACGGCUUACCAAGGCAACGAUACGUAGCCGACCUGAGAGGGUGAUCCGCCACACUGGAACUGAGACACGGUCCAGACUCCUACGGGAGGCAGCAGUAGGGAAUCUUCCGCAAUGGGCGAAAGCCUGACGGAGCAACGCCGCGUGAGUGAUGAAGGUCUUCGGAUCGUAAAACUCUGUUAUUAGGGAAGAACAAACGUGUAAGUAACUGUGCACGUCUUGACGGUACCUAAUCAGAAAGCCACGGCUAACUACGUG
Molecule: ribosomal RNA, 497 nt
Filed under: uncultured bacterium
Lineage: Bacteria
Description: partial 16S ribosomal RNA
Rfam family: Bacterial small subunit ribosomal RNA
Source: RNAcentral